This 2682-nucleotide long non-coding RNA is filed under the name Homo sapiens (human). RNAcentral's name for it is "HSALNT0140613". The record is from RNAcentral. Lineage: Eukaryota; Metazoa; Chordata; Mammalia; Primates; Hominidae.
GCCAGGCAGUAGUGGUGCACCUGUAAUCCCAGCUACUCAGGAGGCUGAGGUAGGAGAAUCACUUGAGCCCGGGAGGCGGAGGUUGCAGUGAGCCGAGAUGGCGCCACUGCACUCCAGUCUGGGUGACAAAGUGAGACGCUGUCUCAAAAAAAAUAAUAAAAUAAAAUAAAAUAAAAACAAGAAAACAAAAAGAAAACACACACACACACACACACACACACACACACACACACAAAACCCCAAAAAAGUGACUUGGCUGAAAUUAACCUAAAAUUGACUUCUGAAGCCAAAGCCUGAGAUCACUAUGAGAGAAUACAGGGUCUAAUCUCCAGUGUACAUGUCAAAAAGGGGAAUGGGCUGCAGCAUCUAGAGAGGAGACCAUCCUGUAGACCCAUCCUGUUGUUUUACAAAGUGUGGGAAACCACUGAUGAGGUAGGUGUGUUUUGGGUGGAGAAGGAAAGGCAGGGUAGAAGAGAGCGGAAUCCAGCCAGGCAGCCCCCAAUGGAAGAAUAUUCAACUCUAGCUCAACGUGGGGAAGGUAAUGACUUUGAUCCUUCCAGUUACCUUUUCUAGAGGGAAUAUGGAAAGAAUCCAGAGUGGACAAGGGCAGCCUCACAUUAGGACCCCAUCCAAUGGGCAUAUCUGUCACUUUCCAGCACACCAGGACUCUAGGGCGCCAGGAUGGGCAUAGCUGUGGCAGAGGUGAGAGGCAGCCUGUGGGAGGCUGUGAGCCCAGGUGGCCACCUGGUCCUUAUAGCCAUGAGGUUUGCAGGCAGUGCCUCAAGCAUCACAGCAGCUGCAGUGCAGGCACCUGGCUGUGGACAACCUCAUGGGGGUGGCGAGCAGGUGGCCCAAGGUGCCAGGGCCAGCAUGGCAUCCGCAGGGUCAGCUAGUCUUCAGUGCUGCCAAGAAGAGUUUAUGAGCUGCCUCUCCUCUGCUACCAGGAAACAGCCUGAUGGGGUGCGUAGGGACUGAAGUUUCCACAAUUAGCUGGAGGAAGAGGAGAUCUUGAGAAACAGUGGUAAUUUCGCUGUAAUUGUAUGUGUGCCACUCCCCGGCCCUGAAGGGCAUGAGCAAGAAAGACUGAAAGUUGUGAAAUGUACCAGGGAAGACACUGCGGUUCUGUGGUGACGGUGAAAAUGAACGUCUCAAAAGCUGGGUGAUGGCUCAGCUGGACCCAGCAUGUUAGCAACCCGUGUUUGAACAGAAGGAAAUGAAAAAUAAAGUAGAAGGACAAGGGAAGGAAAUUGGGAUCUCUUUUCAUGGAGGCACAGAAUGAAAUGAGGUCUCACCAUAUUGCCCAGGCUGGAGUGCAGUGGCUAUUCACAGGCACGAGCACAGCAUGCUACAGUCUCAAGCCUCCCGAGUAGCUAGGACUACAGGCAAGUGCCAGCGUGCCUGGCAAAGUGGCAUAUGUUUCACCUUAAGAGGCCUUUUCAGGUAUCUGGAAGAGUUCUGUUCCUAAUCACCGCCUGUCCAAUUUUAUGAGUCUCCUGGCUGAGGUUUUCUAUGACCAUGGUGAUAUUGACAAGCUCUCCUGCUAUUAUUGAACCAUAGUACGUAGGAUUUUCUCAUUCUUUAAGCCUUUGGUAAAGUGUAGAAUGAAGAGGCAUGGGAGGAGGAGAAGACAGCCCACAAUUCCUCUUCCGUAGUUAAAGUUUUUGAACUUAGAUCAAGGUCUAACUUUUCUCAUCUUGAAUCACAUUAUCUAAAGACUUCUUUUUCCAAAAAGGGAACUUUAUGGGACAAACCGACCCUGGAUCCUGUUAGGGCCUAUCCUUGAAGCAGGCAUUGAUUACCAAGAUAACAAAUCCCUGUCCAAUAUGCAGGUAAUAGCCAAUGGGCUUUCAUGCUCCAAAGCCAGUAGCCAUUAAUAACGGCCAUCAGUCUUUGGCCAAAAUACUAAGGAGUUGACAAGUGGUAUUAUAAUGCCUUAUGCCUCUAUUGAGUGUGAUUCAGGCCAAUGAUGUUUUUAGUAUAGAGAUUUUCAGGUAGAUCUAAACCAAAAUUACUUGGAUCUGACUCUGUCCAUAUGCUAUGCCUUUUUAAAAUAAGGGCUAUAAAAGUAAGGCAGCCUCUAACCAUUCCCCAGUUCUUUCUCAAGUUCUAUUUGUGGGAAAGUUUGGUUGCAAAAGCUAAAUCCUACGACAGGUACCCAAGUGUUGUUUUGGUACAGACAGGAACCUCCCUGUCUAGGUAGGACACAUAAGAAAUUUUAGAUUUCUAGCCAUCUUAUUUAGCAUUUGCCAUCUAAAGUCUCUCCAUGUUUGAGUCCAAUUACCUAGGAAGCCAAAUGAAUUCACACCAAGCCAUGGAAUUGGUACCCAAGGAUGCUGAAUAGCACGUAUUGGAAAGUGACGCCAAUGUGUUUUAGCCAAAUCACAAGUUAACUCUAGCCAGGUGUUGGACUCAAACCAAGGAGAGACUAAGGAUGCAAAAAACAAUAUGAAGAGUAAGGUAUGGACUUUCUUUGAAUCCUAACUUAAACAAAGCACUAAGUUUUAAAAAAUAUGAUGAGGCAGUUGGGAAGAUUUAAACACAGAUGACGUUUUCUAGUAUUAAAAAAUUAUUUAUUUUUUAAAAGAUGUGGUAGUAGUUUUUUAAAGUCUUUAUCUUUUAGAGAUAUGUACUGAAAUAUAUAUAAAGAAAUAAUAGGGUGUCCAAAUUUUGAUUCAAAAUAAC